RNAcentral lists this long non-coding RNA (1071 nucleotides) under Anolis carolinensis (green anole). RNAcentral describes it as "lncRNA (ENSACAG00000032809.2)". The record is from RNAcentral. Lineage: Eukaryota; Metazoa; Chordata; Lepidosauria; Squamata; Anolidae.
GCUUUCUCCUCGGUCUGCAGAUACAGAGCUUAAGAUACCACUAAUUCUGAGAUGUUUUCUUCUCCAUCUGCAGAAGAGAAAUGAGUUUAAAGACAGCGCUUAAGGUACCACUAAUUCUGAGAUGUUUUUCUCUCCAUCUGCAGAAGAGAACUGAGUUUAAAGACAGAGCUUAAGAUACCACCAAUUCUAAGAUGCUUUCCUUUCCAUCUGGAGAAGAGAAAUGAGUUUAAAGACAGCGCUUAAGAUGAGAAACAAUCAGGACCAGCUAACACCUGCCAACCAAGGAUUCCCUCAGUUCAGCUGAAUAAAAGGCUUCUUGGAGAAACACAUGGAAAACAAAGAAGGUACAUAAGCAGUGACUGCAGCACUAUGAAAUUAAAGACAAUUCAAUCCAACUAUGGAAGAACAGAUGGCUGGCUAUGGAAGCAACAGAAGAGGCUCCCCUUUGCAAUGAGCAUCCACCACUGGAUAGUAAAUUUAUAAGAAUUUUUUUACUAGUAAAACUUGAAAGCUGAUCAUAAAACACAAGGAAAAGGAUGUAGAACAAGCCUGAUGUUCACUUCCCCCUCCUGCUUGCCUGUCAACUGAUGAAGCCAAGUGUCACCUUACAGACAACUUAAUCCCUUUGGUCAUGCUUCUCCCUUAAGCCAAGGCCACUUGGACUGCAACAGAAGUUUGACAGCUUUGGCUACGUCAACAUCACACCUUGCACAGACAUUGACUCUGGGGAUGGUUAAUUGACCCCAGCAUGGGACCCCUGCACCUGGAACUCCCCCAGACCUCCCUGCUCUGAUGGAUGUUUUGAUCUCUGUAUUUUCCACAAGUUUCUUUACUACAUCAGGCAGAUUGACUUGAUUUUAUCUGGAAAGGUGCCUCUGUUUUCAGUGUAGCUUGCAAAAAUAAGUAAAAUAAAUAACGUACAGCAAAGUAAGCUUUCCUACCUGUUCUUUCUUCCUCCAGACAUAAGCUGGUCCCUGGCCCCUUCACCAAUAUCAUAACUCUGAAGCCAGCAGCUGCCCGCAUUUACCUAGAGAUGUUAAAUCCAGCAGGAAAUGCCAUCACACUUACAAA